Cavia porcellus (domestic guinea pig) is the source of this 7268-nucleotide long non-coding RNA. RefSeq lists it as uncharacterized. NCBI's taxonomy places the organism in Eukaryota, Metazoa, Chordata, Mammalia, Rodentia, Caviidae. The transcript has 10 exons. The record is from RefSeq and is a predicted model, not a curated record.
GCACCACACUGAUUUCCACAGUAGUUAUACUAGUUUACAUUCCUACCAACAAUGUAGAAGUUUCUUUUUCUCGCAUCCUCAACAGUAUAUGUUAUUAUUAGAUAUUUUUGAUAACAAACAUUCUUUCUGUUGUUCUUGAAAAAUCAGUGCAGUUUUCAUUGGCAUUUCCCUCACGGUCAGCAAUGGCUGCACUUAUGUCUCAUGAGAAGUUGACAUAGGAAUAAAAUAUUCAGCAUUUACGUAUUAUUUUGAACAGUAUGUAGGCAUUGCCUGAGAGUGGACAGCUAUAGCAGUACAUUCACUUUCUGGGUCAGGCCAAAGGGCACUUACAAAGAAUACCUUACAGUGGGAUAAAGUUUUGCAUUGGAGAAACAAAACAAUUAAGACAUGAUCCCUACCGCACCUGCCAUGAUCACUCAAUCUACUGUAACAGCAAAACUGACAGGAAGUACAAAGAAACAUUAAUUAAUACUCAUGGCCUGACAACAGCCAGAACCUUGCCUGCCAGUGAAGCCCUGUAAGUUUAUGAACUCCUGUCCAGGAGCCCAGGUGUCCCUUUCCCCCCAGCCCUGAAGGCCAUUCUCAGAACCAAAUUCUUCUUGCAAGGGUCUCACUAUGCAGUUGAGACUGACCUUAAACUCACUUUGUAGCCCAGGUUGGCCUCAAACUCACGAACUCACUGCAGUUCCUUCUCAGCCUUCUGAUGACUGGGAUUACAGGCCAGUGGUGGUGAACCUAUGGCACACAACCUAAAACCAGCUGUUUGCAUUGUUGAAACCUCUAAAAGGUUUUCCAUCACUACUAGGCUUUUCCUGUUACAUGCUUUCUAUGUUUUGGAUUUGAGAGAGAUUAAAUAAAGAACAUAAGAAAGUCAUUUAAAAUAUCAAAGGAAACUUGCUUACUAAAAGGUAUCUCUAAAAAUCCAAUAAAAAAGGAAAAGAAAAGAGCUGACUGGGUACGAUCCUGUCCAGACAUUUGACUUGCCCUUCCUAGCUUCAAAUCAGGAGCAAAGGCAGGUUACUAAAGAGGAGGGACUCCCACACCAAGAACCAGUUUGUGAACACUGCUCAAACCAAAUGUUUAAAAAACUUUCUCCUUGAAGAUUUAAUGACUCCAAAUCUGUAUUUGAUUACUUGAUUCCACUGGGGCUUGGACUUGAGCAAUGGCCAAGCUAGAAGAGCAAGAAGAAAUCGUGCCGGUCAUGCAUUAUGUAUUGCUGCUACUGGAUUUGGGCCGAGACGAGCCUAUGACGUCUUCACCGGGCAUGGCAUUUGCUUUGGGCUGUUUGCUUUGUUUGAACAUACUGUCUUUCGAGUGUGAGGGGUUUAACUAGUGAGUCAACCACAUGCAACUCCCCACACUAUAAAUUCCAGGAAAAGUCAAGGAGAUUUAGUUUCUGGAUUUGAUCUUUAAAUGGCCGAUAGAUUUCAUCAUUCUGUAAAGGCAGUUAAAAUCCCCCCUCUUUCCCAUUUUGUUCCACAUAACUCUUCGGCAGAGCACUGGGAGAACCAAUGGCAUGAUGGUAAUAAAUGUUUAAGGAACUCAUUUACAGAAAACGUAUUUAAACUAGCUGGAGUAAAAUUGGGCAUGUCUGCAUUUCAAAAGAAUUAAUUGUGUGAUCAUAGAUUGCUCAUUUCAAUUCUCCAUUCUCAAGAAAUGGAUGAAACAUCAGUAUCUGAGUCUCUUCUGAAAUUCAGUAAAAUUGUAACAACUGAAACUUUUUGUUCUAUUUCUAAGGUAAUUUUUGCGGUCGACAAUGAGGUUUUGAUCUUUUGUUCUUAUGCUACUUACUGAUUUUUAAUUUGGUUUUCUAAACAGAGUCUAGACAUAGAUAUUUUCAGAUUAGGUGAAAACAUAAGUUUGAGAAUGAUAUACAUAUUCAAAUUCUUGUUUAAACUGAUUCUUUGUAAGCAGAUCAUUCAAGUUAUAUGAUAUAUAUGUACAUAUGUCUGAAUUUUAACUUUCCAGAGAAAUCAAGAACUCUUUCUGAGUCAGAUUUGGAGAAAUCAUGUUGGAGUCAGGGCAUGAUUCUCUUUGAGAACACUGAUUCUACAGCAUCAAUGAAAUACUGGUGGAGUUACACUUAGAAUAACCCCAGGUUUCUACUAAAAUCUCUCACCUCACAUUUUCUGGAAACAGUAGAUAUAACUAUCAGUGCAAAACAAAUUAUUGUGGAAAUCAGAAACUAUCUUUUCUUUAUAUAUACCUCUCCUAUACUAUGGCAUCUUACAAUGUAAUAUCACUAUAUAGAGAAAAACUGAUUUUAAUAAAAAGAUAAUCUAUAAAAUUUGAGAAGUAGAAAUAAACUUUAAUUUUUUGAAUUCUAGCCAUAUCUCACUGGUAUCAAAGCAAAAACACGUAAGGACCCUCUUGAGUAUUAAAUAUUUCAAGAUUCAGUAUUCUUCAUAAUCUGACCAUGCAAGCCAUGUUUUGUCUAAAUUCCAGUAAUUUCCAUUUAAAUAUUGCUACAUCACUUAUUUAACACUAUAAUGUGAUUUCCCACUGAUACAGCUUUUGUUUAUCUCCUGAUUAUAAAGAAAUUGCCAUGUAUUAAAGUGUUAGCCAAAUCAGUUCCCUCAUAAUGCCAUACCACAUGCUUCUAUCUAGAAUUCAUUCUUCCUUCCUUUCCUUUAUAACAGUUCAUUGUUACCACUCUUGUGGCAUUUAGUAAGUGGUUUGUAAAAUGGCUAAUGUCGGUGAGGCUGAAAAAUAGAAUUAUAUCUACUUGAAAGAAUACCAGUAUGUCAAAAAUCAGAAUUUAUAAAAUAGAUUCCCAGGAAAUGAUUAUUUUCAUAACAAGAAAAUUCUUAAGUUGACAAAAUAAUUUUCUGUGAAAUUAACUGAAAUUAUAAAAAAUUCUAAUGUACUGAAUAUUGUCUAAUUUACCAAGAUUAGAUAACUCCAUUUUGCAAGAGCAUAUACCUAUUAUAUAAACUGAGGUUGUAAAUAGUGAAAUUCAUUUUAGUUCAUGACAGUUUCAGACUUGGAACCCAAGUGAUGAUAUAAUCAUUGGAUCAUUCAUUUUAAAUAUUUAUGAGUAUGGUAAAUUGUCAAACUAAUGAGUUCUGAUUUCCUACCUGAGAAGAGAAUCUUGGGUUCCCCCACCCAGUUCUUCUAGAUACUUUGAGCACAGAUCACAUUAAACUUUAGUCACCUCUAAAAUUAUCAGGAGUCUCACUUAGAGAAUAUUAACAAGAACUUUGCUGGGAAAAGGGAAAUAUUUUAGUUAUUUUGAAGAGGAGAGAGGAUACAAGACAGACCUUCACAUGCUUCAGGUAAAUCAUGCAGAAUUUAGAUACUAAAUUUAUCUUUUAUUCUUCCAUUCUUACUCUUUUUCCUUUCCUUUCUGAACCUCAGAAAACUAAAUUUUAGUCUCUCGUCCUCUGAUUUAUAAGUAGAUGUAAAUAUGCGCCUGUGGGUGAAAGACUGGAAGGCGAGUAGAAGACCAAAUCCAGGGGGUAAUGUUUCCCGUCUCUCUACUUUGUACAGUGUCUCUGGUCAUGGCUGUCUCUGCCUUCUCCAUACACACUGGAAAGUAAUUCUUCUACGAUCUUAGGUUCUGCCAGCCAUGCACACCCCAGCUCCAGGUUUGUUCAAUGACUCUCAAUUCCUCAGUCUCGUAUCAUCAUCUGUAGGAGUUGAGCCUCUUUUUUCAGGGGGGACAGUGAUUUCCUGCACGAAAUUGUCUUUCUGCUGUCUCAAUUCUUUCAUCACCUCUAUAACCAAUUUCCUGCAUUAAAUCUCAUGUUUGAAGUUUAUGUUCAUUACUUCUUCUGUGAUUAAACUCUAAGGCUUUCAGUUCUGAAACUCAUCUCUUCACAGAGAACAGUAAAAGAAAAAGAUAAAGUCUUUGCUCCUCUAGAUGCAUUUAUGUGCCUGGUACAAUUCUCCUUUAUUCCAAAUUCUUUGGGCCAAAAGUGUUUCAUGUUUGAGUCUGAGGGAUUUUGAAAUACUCAAAUAUGUAUGAUGAGCUAUCUUGGGGAUGGGAUCCAGCUCUACACAGAAAAUUCAUUUAUAUUUCAUCUACAUUUUAUACACAUAGCCUGGAGGUAAUUUUAUGCAAUGCUUUCAGUGCACCUGUGUUUCAACUGUGAUCUGUCACACAAGGUCAGGUGUGGGAUUUCCUACUUGUGGCAGUGUGUUUUUACUCAAAAAUUUGGGGUUUUGUAACUCUUUCGUAUUUCAAGACUAAGAAUGCUCAGUCAAAGAACAUGCACAACAAUUUGCAUUAUGUCCAUUUUCCUUAUGGUAAAACUAUAAAUCGAGAGUUCAAAUAAUAUAAAAAUUAAGUAGGGUGACAGAGUUCACAUCUAGUUCUUUUUUAAGCUGUUAUGCAGAUGGACAUAAGAUUGUUCUUUUGGUGUAAGAAACCCAAAGUACAAUCAUAACUACUUCCAAGUGGGGUUGUUCGUAACUCUGAAUUGGAAGAUGUUUCACAAUCUUCCCUUCUUUCCUCCAGAAUUAACUCAUGGCUAUCGAUGCACCAUUAGUAACAGAAUAUUUUGUUAUGAAAAAUUGUUGAAGAAAACUCAGAUUCAAUUUGAAAACCCUCUGCAAUUUCAACGUUAAUGUGAAAUAGGGCGGGUUCGUGCAGUGUUAUCAUUAGUAACCUUAAGCCUUAACUUCGAGGGAGUCUAAAAAAUAUUAUCCCAAAUUAUGGCAUCUUGGAAACUAAAAAAACAGAGGAACAGAAAGAUCCCUGUUCUCUUGCCCUCUUUCCUUCCCUUAAGUAGACCAUCUAAUCUAGGAAGGUAACUCCCUGACCUUCUCUCCCUCUUCCUCUCAAAGCCUUCGUGUCACAGGUAAACUGCCCUAAACCCAGAGGCAGAGAAUGGAACAUGGGAAUGUCAAGAAGUGCAAGAAUAAACAGGUUUUGUUAAAUUCUCCUGGCAAAUUACCAUCAGCUCAUCCCCUUCUGACCUUCAGCCACACCUCUUCCUGCCUCUUCCUGAAAAGGCACAAAUUUCCCCUUUCCUUUGUGUCUUUAUUUCUGAAAACUCCUGUAUAGCACAAAACAUUAAAUAAAUGUGUACACUCUCCUCUUGUCAAUCUAGGUUUGGUUAUGGAGACUUCAACCAUGAACCUUUUCUUGGAUGAAGAAAAGAUAUUGCUUCUUCUUCUCUUCAUAUUUGAUUUUUCUGCUUUGGAGAUGCAGAUACAUUGGGGAGAAUUAAAAUCAAAACAGCAGCACCUGAGUUUUGACUCAGACUAUCUUUCCAGUAUUAUGCAUGGGUUCUGCUAUUUGCCUUAAGUAUUGACAUUUCACAUAUUCAUUUAUUCUAUGAAUGUUUUCUGAAGACAUUUCUAUGUGAGUUUUUUAGUUAGAUAUUACCAAGAUUCAUUUGACCAAAAUGAACAGAACAAUGUCCUAAAAAUAUAUAGAUACAUAAGACCUUUCUUUCUUCUUGGAAACCAAGAUCUAUCCAUACAUUCAGCACCUGAUUUUGCCUCUUUGGCAUAGGUUUGGAGCCAUUUAUUGAGAUUAGAAGGCACUCUUUUAUGUGCCAGUUACCUCCUCUUUUAUUCAUUGUUUCCUUAUUAGUAGCCCUAUCUUAUCAUCUACGGGUCUAUUGGGUCUGAAACUCUCUUUACUAGAAUACCAUUUGUGCUAUCCUUCUCCAUGUUCUUUAGAUCUGACUCCUCUCUUGCAGUACACAUAUGCACAUUCACACCCACUCCCUGUAAGUACAAUUAUUUCUGUCCAAGUCAGAAGUUGAGUAAUUAUAGCCAUGAAGCCCACAGAUAGGAACAAAGGAUAAGAAAGAGAAAAAAUUAAAAUAAAAUUAAAAUAAAUGACCUUAUUCUUUUAAGAAUAAGGAAAAAGUGUGUGGCUGUGAUUAUGUGGAAAACCCAAGGCAGUCUAAAGAAGACUGCAUGUAAGAAUGCAUGAGCUACCUGAAUUGAUUAAGAAUUUUUCCCUGUGGCCCUGGACAAUGGGUUAUGAGUGAGAGCUCAAUACAAUGAAAUCUUUACAGGAAUGUAACUUUGAGAAAACAGAAUUGCAGCCCUGUGAGUUCAGUGACUUUCUGUGCUGUAGAUGUGUGAAGGAUAUCACUGAUUGAUGUCCAUUUGGUGAUAUUGUUAAUUGAAGAGAUUUAAGUACUCACUGAGUCAUUGGACCCUCAAAACAUAAGGUCUCUCCUAUUUAGACUCUAAUCGAAGACUUGUUAUGUGUGUAUGUUAGAUAAGAGCUUAUUUUCCUCAUCGAUUCUUUAUCUUCCAAGCAUGUGCUGUGUAAUUCUAGACUGUAGUUUUAUUCUGAAAAACUGCAUUCUGAUGAUCUUUAGUAUCCAUCUGGAGCCAAGUAUGUCAGAAGAAAAAGAAAAAAAGAAUGACAAAAGAGAUAAGAAAUUUCUAGUAAGCUCAACUUCCUUCUUCACAGUCUCAUAAGGGAUUCUGAAGGUCAAAUCCCCACAUCUCUUGGCAAGUAAGUUGGUGCCAAUAGCCCGUGUGGAAAUCUUUCGUGACAAAAACAAAAAGACUUGGUGCUUAAAGAAAAUAAUCAGCUUUGCCUAAAUUACUGCUAGGGAAGCUGCAUCCCCUAGGGCUGGUGGAUAAUAUGGUUACCUGUUGGAAUGGAAACAGCUCACUUGUGUGUCACAUAGCUGGAAGGUUUGCAGGCCUAAGCAUCUAAACUCUUACCUUACAUGUGUCUGCAGUGCUUGGGCCACUGCCACCCUCUCCCCUGCCCCCAGCUUCCAUUUUCUUACUCUGAUUUUCACUUGGUAUUUAUCAGAGACAACAGGAAAUGUUUCCUGUCCUUACCUCUUUGUGCAGGCUUUUUGGCAUUGUCUUUCUUUUGCUACUACCAACAGGCUAAAUCAUAAGACCGUGUACAGAUUCUGCUUUAUAUAUAACUCUACUGCAUGUAUACUGUAUUCUGGGACCUAGGAAAUCUCUCAGUUAGUUAGGUUUUUGUUUUGGCUUUUCUCCCCUGUGCUUAGAAUAUUCUCCACUCAAUAAUCUUCAUAUGCCUAAUAUGUGCCUAUUCUUUAAGACUCAGCUCAUCUACCACCUGGAGACCUCUGUGUAUGAAAUUAUUAUAGGCCAUGCAUAUGACAGCAACACCAGCAUCAGUGAGAAGAUGUGUCCUGCAGAGCAAAGUUGAUGUUAAGAUGUCAUUUCAGAACAGGACCAACUGAUAGAAGAUGGCAAAAUUCAAAGGGGCACUGGUUGCUUUAUAAUCAUAAAGAGCAAGAUAAGUAGAAACAUUUGUAAGAAAUGAGAAACUUACAAUCUAGAACAUAAAUGCAACAUCCCUAGGGGCA